AUGGCACAUAUUGAUGGCAUCUGAGAUAUGUUAAAGAUUUAUUGGUAUAAGAUGGGCAUGCGUCUGAUUAGCUAGUUGGCGGUGUAACGGACCACCAAGGCGACGAUCAGUAGGGGUUCUGAGAGGAAGGUCCCCCAUACUGGCACUGAGAUACGGGCCAGACUCCUACGGGAGGCAGCAGUAGGGAAUAUUGGGCAAUGGUCGGAAGACUGACCCAGCCAUGCCGCGUGCAGGAAGACGGCCCUCUGGGUUGUAAACUGCUUUUAUCUGGGAAGAAAAAGGCCAUGCGUGGCAAAUUGCCGGUACCAGAUGGAUAAGCACCGGCUAACUCCGUG
Molecule: ribosomal RNA, 335 nt
Filed under: uncultured bacterium
Lineage: Bacteria
Description: bacterial SSU rRNA
Rfam family: Bacterial small subunit ribosomal RNA
Source: RNAcentral